Cyprinus carpio (common carp) is the source of this 840-nucleotide long non-coding RNA. The record is from Ensembl. Lineage: Eukaryota; Metazoa; Chordata; Actinopteri; Cypriniformes; Cyprinidae.
UUUCAAUGUCAUGAAAAAGUAAAAAGUAAAGUAAAGUCAGUGGUUGGAUAAAGUUUAAUCCAAUGCACCGAGCUGAGAAACUAAUUUCACUGGGUUACAGUAAAUCACAAUUGGGAAGGUGCUCUACUAAUCCAGUAGACUGAUUACUUUUGAACAUUAAGUGAGUUUAUUUUCUUGCAGGAUAUAGGAGGACUCAGUGACACAACAACAGUUACACUAACGAUUGAAGAUUUUGACAACCUAAACCCUUAUUUUGAUCACUGUCUCUACAAGGCAUCCAUUGAGGAAAAUCAGGUAGGACUCUUCUCGGACAUCACUCCCGAGCCCAUAAAAGCUCAAGAUGGUGACACGGGCAUCAACGAGCCUGUAGUUUACAGCAUAACAUCAGGUAUCUGUAGCGGAAGAUUUACAACACACUUACGUCCUAAUCUAAACAAUAAAAUAAUAAUGAAAUGUACUCAUGAUCUGAAUUACCUUUCUGAUAAUAACAAAGCAUAUAUUGAUAUUUUUGUUUCAGUCAUUCCAAAUGAAUAUCAGAACAGCUUUGAUAUCGACCGAAACAGUGGGGUCAUCUCUGUGACGACGGCACUAGACAGAGAGCAAACAGGGCAGAUUGCUGUUUUCAUACAGGUAUGAGAAGUUUCUUAUGAAUCUGAAGAGAUUUCAGUACUGUGUUUGUAUAUAUUUUCUAAACAGCGUUUCCUUGUAAAAACAGGCAGCUCAGCAGGAUGACGCCAGUAAGACUUUUAAUCGUGAUAACUGAUUUCUGGCUGAUUUGUUUCUUCAAGCAAGUUAGCAUUUUGAAAUAAAAUAUCUGGAUUAAGUUGUCUGAGAUUACUU